RNAcentral lists this ribosomal RNA (389 nucleotides) under uncultured bacterium. RNAcentral describes it as "bacterial SSU rRNA". It matches the Rfam family "Bacterial small subunit ribosomal RNA", at positions 28 to 414 of the family's 1533-position model. The record is from RNAcentral.
GAUGAACGCUAGCGGCAGGCCUAAUACAUGCAAGUCGAGGGGUAGUGGAAGCUUGCUUCCAUGAGACCGGCGCACGGGUGCGUAACGCGUAUGCAACCUACCUCUAUCUGGGGGAUAGCCCGGAGAAAUCCGGAUUAACACCGCAUAAAAUCACAGUACGGCAUCGUACAAUGAUCAAAUAUUUAUAGGAUAGGGAUGGGCAUGCGUGUCAUUAGUUAGUUGGCGGGGUAACGGCCCACCAAGACCACGAUGACUAGGGGAUCUGAGAGGAUGGCCCCCCACACUGGUACGUGAGACACGGACCAGACUCCUACGGGAGGCAGCAGUAAGGAAUAUUGGUCAAUAGGAGGCAACUACUGAACCAGCCAUGCCGCCGUGCAGGAAGACGG